CCCUUAGAUGUUCUGGGCCGCACGCGCGCUACACUGAUGCAUUCAACGAGUUUCUUCCUGGUCCGAGAGGAAUGGGUAACCUUUUGAAAGUGCAUCGUGAUAGGGAUAGACUAUUGCAAUUAUUGGUCUUCAACGAGGAAUUCCUAGUAGACGUAGUUCAUCAGACUGCAUCGAUUACGUCCCUGCCCUUUGUACACACCGCCCGUCGCUCCUACCGAUUGAAUGCUCAGGUGAGCCAUUCGGACUUUCAUCAUGCUGGUUUCCAGUUUUGAUGAAGGAAAGUCUUGCGAACCUUAUCAUUUAGAGGAAGGAGAAGUCGUGACA
RNAcentral lists this ribosomal RNA (324 nucleotides) under uncultured eukaryote. RNAcentral's name for it is "partial 18S ribosomal RNA". It matches the Rfam family "Eukaryotic small subunit ribosomal RNA", at positions 1470 to 1796 of the family's 1831-position model. The record is from RNAcentral.